Molecule: ribosomal RNA, 255 nt
Filed under: uncultured bacterium
Lineage: Bacteria
Description: partial 16S ribosomal RNA
Rfam family: Bacterial small subunit ribosomal RNA
Source: RNAcentral
GACAUAGGUUGCGAACGUUAUCCGGAAUUAUUGGGCGUAAAGGAUGCGUAGAUGGUUUGAUAAGUUAUCAGUGGCAAAUCGGGGCUCAACCUCGUGGAAGCUGGUAAUACUGUUAUACUCGAGUGCAGGAGAAGUUAACGGAACUCUAUAUGGAGCGGUAAAAUGUGACGAUAUAUAGAAGAACACCAAUAAGGCGAAGGCAGUUAACUAUUCUGUUACUGACAUUGAGGCAUGAAAGCGUGGGGAGCAAAACGG